UAACCUGCCGAAAGGCGGGCUAAUACUGGAUAGAGCGAUGGAAUCCGUAAUGGGUUUUCGGGAAAGGGAGGAAGCAAUCCCUUUGCUUUGGGAUGAGCCUGCGUCUCAUUAGCUAGUUGGCGGGGUAACGGCCCACCAAGGCUAUGAUGGGUAGCUGGUCUGAGAGGAUGAUCAGCCACACUGGAACUGAAACACGGUCCAG
Molecule: ribosomal RNA, 202 nt
Filed under: uncultured bacterium
Lineage: Bacteria
Description: partial 16S ribosomal RNA
Rfam family: Bacterial small subunit ribosomal RNA
Source: RNAcentral